GACGAACGCUGGCGGCGUGCUUAACACAUGCAAGUCGAACGGAAAGGCCUCUUUCGGGGGGUACUCGAGUGGCGAACGGGUGAGUAACACGUGAGUAACCUGCCCUUGACUUUGGGAUAACUUCAGGAAACUGGGGCUAAUACCGGAUAGUAGCUCCUGCUGCAUGGUGGGGGUUGGAAAGUUUCGGCGGUUGGGGAUGGACGCGCGGCUUAUCAGCUUGGUGGUGGGGUAGUGGCUUACCAAGGCUGUGACGUGUACCCGGACUGAGGGGGUGACAGACGGUCCAGACUCCUAGGGGAGGCAGAGGUUGGUAAGAGUGGAAGAAGGGCGGAAGACUGAACAAUGGGUGGCGCCUGGAUGAAGAAAGGCCUCGGGCUGGAUGACGCUCUAAGGUUUGUAGAACGCUAUCGCUCAUAUACAAGCUUUGUGUGACGGUACUGGCUAAAGAAGCACCGGCUAACUACGUG
This 467-nucleotide ribosomal RNA is filed under the name uncultured bacterium. Its description in RNAcentral is "partial 16S ribosomal RNA". It matches the Rfam family "Bacterial small subunit ribosomal RNA", at positions 28 to 507 of the family's 1533-position model. The record is from RNAcentral.